CCUACGGGUGGCAGCAGUAGGGAAUUUUCGUCAAUGGGGGGAACCCUGAACGAGCAAUGCCGCGUGAGUGAAGAAGGUCUUCGGAUCGUAAAGCUCUGUUGUAAGAGAAAAACGGGUAUCAUCGGGAAUGAUGAUAUCGUGAUGGUAUCUUACCAGAAAGCCACGGCUAACUACGUGCCAGCAGCCGCGGUAAUAGUUGGGUGGCAAGGGUUAUCCGGAAUGAUUGGGCUAAAAGGAGGCGUCGGCGGCAAAAUAAGCCUGAAGUAAAAGGCGUUGGCUCAACCAACGUAAGCUUUGGAAACUGUGAAGCUAGCGUGCAGGAGAGGUUAGUGGAAUUCCAUGUGUAGCGGUAAAAUGCGUAGAUAUAUGGAGGAACACCAGUGGCGAAGGCGGCUAACUGGCCUGUAACGGACGCUGAGGCACGAAAGCGUGGGGAGCAAAUAGGAUUAGAUACCCCAGUAGUC
RNAcentral lists this ribosomal RNA (464 nucleotides) under uncultured bacterium. RNAcentral describes it as "partial 16S ribosomal RNA". It matches the Rfam family "Bacterial small subunit ribosomal RNA", at positions 338 to 795 of the family's 1533-position model. The record is from RNAcentral.